UACACGACCGUACCGCAAACCGACACUGGUGCGCGAGAUGAGUAUUCUAAGGCGCUUGAGAGAACUCAGGAGAAGGAACUCGGCAAAUUGACACCGUAACUUCGGAAGAAGGUGUGCCUUUAGUAGGUGAAGUCCCUCGCGGAUGGAGCCCAAUGAGGUUGCAAAGAAUCGGUGGCUGCGACUGUUUAUUAAAAACACAGCACUCUGCAAACACGAAAGUGGACGUAUAGGGUGUGACGCCUGCCCGGUGCUGGAAGAUUAAAUGAUGGGGUGCAAGCUCUUGAUUGAAGUCCCAGUAAACGGCGGCCGUAACUAUAACGGUCCUAAGGUAGCGAAAUUCCUUGUCGGGUAAGUUCCGACCUGCACGAAUGGCGUAACGAUGGCCACACUGUCUCCUCCUGAGACUCAGCGAAGUUGAAAUGUUUGUGAUGAUGCAAUCUCCCCGCGGAAAGACGGAAAGACCCCAUGAACCUUUACUGUAGCUUUGUAUUGGACUUUGAACAGAUCUGUGUAGGAUAGGUGGGAGGCUUUGAAGCAGGGUCGCUAGAUCUUGUGGAGCCAACGUUGAAAUACCACCCUGGUGUGUUUGAGGUUCUAACCUAGGCCCGUAAUCCGGGUUGGGGACAGUGCAUGGUAGGCAGUUUGACUGGGGCGGUCUCCUCCCAAAGUGUAACGGAGGAGUUCGAAGGUACGCUAGUUACGGUCGGACAUCGUGACGAUAGUGCAAUGGCAUAAGCGUGCUUAACUGCGAGACUGACAAGUCGAGCAGAUGCGAAAGCAGGACAUAGUGAUCCGGUGGUUCUGUAUGGAAGGGCCAUCGCUCAACGGAUAAAAGGUACUCUGGGGAUAACAGGCUGAUACCGCCCAAGAGUUCAUAUCGACGGCGGUGUUUGGCACCUCGAUGUCGGCUCAUCUCAUCCUGGGGCUGUAGCCGGUCCCAAGGGUAUGGCUGUUCGCCAUUUAAAGAGGUACGUGAGCUGGGUUUAAAACGUCGUGAGACAGUUUGGUCCCUAUCUUCCGUGGGCGCUGCAGAUUUGAGGAAGCCUGCUCCUAGUACGAGAGGACCGGAGUGGACGCACCUCUGGUGUAUCGGUUGUCACGCCAGUGGCAUUGCCGAGUAGCUAUGUGCGGAAGAGAUAACCGCUGAAAGCAUCUAAGCGGGAAACUCGUUUCAAGAUGAGAUCUGCCGGGGCCUUGAGCCCCCUGAAGAGUCGUUCAAGACCAGGACGUUGAUAGGUCGGGUGUGGAAGCGCAGUAAUGCGUUAAGCUAACCGAUACUAAUUGCUCGUGCGGCUUGACCCC
Molecule: ribosomal RNA, 1302 nt
Filed under: metagenome
Description: bacterial LSU rRNA
Rfam family: Bacterial large subunit ribosomal RNA
Source: RNAcentral